CGGGGCGUGGCGCAGUGGUAGCGCAUCUGCUUUGGGAGCAGAGGGUCGCUGGUUCGAAUCCAGUCGCCCCGACCA
This 75-nucleotide transfer RNA is filed under the name Candidatus Doudnaibacteriota bacterium. Its description in RNAcentral is "Candidatus Doudnabacteria bacterium tRNA-Pro". It matches the Rfam family "tRNA". Rfam says of the family: Transfer RNA (tRNA) molecules are approximately 80 nucleotides in length. Their secondary structure includes four short double-helical elements and three loops (D, anti-codon, and T loops). The record is from RNAcentral. Lineage: Bacteria; Candidatus Doudnaibacteriota.